GACGAACGCUGGCGGCGUGCCUAAUACAUGCAAGUCGAACGCAGUGGGGACGGGUGAGUAACACGUGGGUAACCUCCCAUCAGAGGGGAUAACACUUGGAAACAGGUGCUAAACCGAUACUGAUGGAUGGACCCGCGGUGCAUUAGCUAGUUGGUGAGGUAACGGCUCACCAAGGCCACGAUGCAUAGCCGACCGUGGAGGGUGAUCGGCCAAACUGGGACGUAGACACGGCCCAGACUCCUUAGGGAGGCAGCAGUAGGGAAUGUUCGGCCAUGGAACAAAGUCUGACCGAGCAACGCCGCGGUAGUGAAGAAGGUUUUCGGAUCGUAAAACUCUUUUGUUAGGGAAGCGGGAUUCAACCAGAAAGCCACGGCUAACUACGUGCCAGCAGCCGCGGUAAUUC
RNAcentral lists this ribosomal RNA (403 nucleotides) under uncultured bacterium. Its description in RNAcentral is "partial 16S ribosomal RNA". It matches the Rfam family "Bacterial small subunit ribosomal RNA", at positions 28 to 526 of the family's 1533-position model. The record is from RNAcentral.